CUUCGGGGUGUGACUGCGUACCUUUUGUAUAAUGGGUCAGCGACUUAUAUUCUGUAGCAAGGUUAACCGAAUAGGGGAGCCGGAGGGAAACCGAGUCUUAAUUGGGCGUUAAGUUGCAGGGUAUAGACCCGAAACCCGGUGAUCUAGCCAUGGGCAGGUUGAAGGUUGGGUAACACUAACUGGAGGACCGAACCGACUAAUGUUGAAAAAUUAGCGGAUGACCUGUGGCUGGGGGUGAAAGGCCAAUCAAACCGGGAGAUAGCUGGUUCUCCCCGAAAGCUAUUUAGGUAGCGCCUCGUGAACUCAUCUCCGGGGGUAGAGCACUGUUUCGGCUAGGGGGCCAUCCCGGCUUACCAACCCGAUGCAAACUGCGAAUACCGGAGAAUGUUAUCACGGGAGACACACGGCGGGUGCUAACGUCCGUCGUGAAGAGGGAAACAACCCAGACCGCCAGCUAAGGUCCCAAAGUCAUGGUUAAGUGGGAAACGAUGUGGGAAGGCCCAGACAGCCAGGAUGUUGGCUUAGAAGCAGCCAUCAUUUAAAGAAAGCGUAAUAGCUCACUGGUCGAGUCGGCCUGCGCGGAAGAUGUAACGGGGCUAAACCAUGCACCGAAGCUGCGGCAGCGAACGUAUCACUUAAAGCGAUUCAGCG
RNAcentral lists this ribosomal RNA (651 nucleotides) under Salmonella enterica subsp. enterica serovar Rissen. RNAcentral's name for it is "partial 23S ribosomal RNA". It matches the Rfam family "Bacterial large subunit ribosomal RNA", at positions 583 to 1219 of the family's 2925-position model. Lineage: Bacteria; Pseudomonadati; Pseudomonadota; Gammaproteobacteria; Enterobacterales; Enterobacteriaceae. The record is from RNAcentral.